Molecule: ribosomal RNA, 1275 nt
Filed under: metagenome
Description: bacterial LSU rRNA
Rfam family: Bacterial large subunit ribosomal RNA
Source: RNAcentral
CCCUAAAUACCAAGGCGAUCGGGUGAACUGUGGUUAAGGAACUCGGUAAAUUGCCCCCGUAACUUCGGGAGAAGGGGGACCUCUGUUGGUGAUGGGCUUUACGCCUGGAGCUGGUGGGGGUCGCAGUGGCCAGGGGGAAGCGGCUGUUUACUAAAAACACAGGUCCGUGCGAAGUCGUAAGACGAUGUAUACGGACUGACGCCUGCCCGGUGCCGGAACGUUAAGGGGACCGCUUAGCCGACGUGAGUUGGCGAAGGUGAGAACUUAAGCGCCGGUAAACGGCGGUGGUAACUAUAACCAUCCUAAGGUAGCGAAAUUCCUCGUCGGGUAAGUUCCGACCUGCACGAAUGGCGUAACGACUUCCCCGCUGUCUCAACCGCAGACCCGGCGAAAUUGCACUACGAGUAAAGAUGCUCGUUUCGCGCAGCAGGACGGAAAGACCCCGGGACCUUCACUACAGCUUGACAUUGGCGUUUGGAACGUCUUGUGUAGGAUAGGUGGGAGACUGGGAAGCUGUCACGCUAGUGAUGGUGGAGUCAUUGGUGAAAUACCACUCUGGUCGUUUUGAACGUCUAACUCUGGUCCGUGAUCCGGAUCGGGGACAGUGUCUGGUGGGUAGUUUAACUGGGGCGGUUGCCUCCUAAAGAGUAACGGAGGCGCCCAAAGGUUCCCUCAGCCUGGUUGGCAAUCAGGUGUUGAGUGUAAGUGCACAGGGGAGCUUGACUGUGAGACUGACAGGUCGAGCAGGAGCGAAAGCUGGGACUAGUGAUCCGGCAUCGGCGUGUGGAAGCGGUGUCGCUCAACGGCUAAAAGGUACCCCGGGGAUAACAGGCUGAUCUUCCCCAAGAGUCCAUAUCGACGGGAUGGUUUGGCACCUCGAUGUCGGCUCGUCGCAUCCUGGGGCUGGAGUAGGUCCCAAGGGUUGGGCUGUUCGCCCAUUAAAGCGGUACGCGAGCUGGGUUUAGAACGUCGCGAGACAGUUCGGUCCCUAUCCGCUGCGCGCGCAGGAGACUUGAAGGGGGCUGUCCCUAGUACGAGAGGACCGGGACGGACGAACCUCUGGUGUGCCAGUUGUACCGCCAGGUGCACGGCUGGUUGGCUACGUUCGGAAGGGAUAACCGCUGAAAGCAGCUAAGCGGGAAGCUCGCCUUGAGAUGAGGUCUCCCACCACGAGAGUGGGUAAGGCUCCCGGUAGACGACCGGGUUGAUAGGCCGGAGGUGGAAGCACGGUAACGUGUGGAGCUGACCGGUACUAAUAGGCCGAGGACUUGACCG